Molecule: ribosomal RNA, 881 nt
Filed under: Bipolaris sp.
Lineage: Eukaryota; Fungi; Ascomycota; Dothideomycetes; Pleosporales; Pleosporaceae
Description: partial large subunit ribosomal RNA
Rfam family: Eukaryotic large subunit ribosomal RNA
Source: RNAcentral
GGAAAAGAAACCAACAGGGAUUGCCCUAGUAACGGCGAGUGAAGCGGCAACAGCUCAAAUUUGAAAUCUGGCUCUUUCAGAGUCCGAGUUGUAAUUUGCAGAGGGCGCUUUGGCUUUGGCAGCGGUCCAAGUUCCUUGGAACAGGACGUCACAGAGGGUGAGAAUCCCGUACGUGGUCGCUAGCUAUUGCCGUGUAAAGCCCCUUCGACGAGUCGAGUUGUUUGGGAAUGCAGCUCUAAAUGGGAGGUAAAUUUCUUCUAAAGCUAAAUAUUGGCCAGAGACCGAUAGCGCACAAGUAGAGUGAUCGAAAGAUGAAAAGCACUUUGGAAAGAGAGUCAAACAGCACGUGAAAUUGUUGAAAGGGAAGCGCUUGCAGCCAGACAUGCUUGCAGUUGCUCAUCCGGGCUUUUGCCCGGUGCACUCUUCUGUAGGCAGGCCAGCAUCAGUUUGGGCGGUGGGAUAAAGGUCUCUGUCACGUACCUCUCUUCGGGGAGGCCUUAUAGGGGAGACGACAUACCACCAGCCUAGACUGAGGUCCGCGCAUCUGCUAGGAUGCUGGCGUAAUGGCUGUAAGCGGCCCGUCUUGAAACACGGACCAAGGAGUCUAACAUCUAUGCGAGUGUUUGGGUGUCAAGCCCGAGCGCGUAAUGAAAGUGAACGGAGGUGGGAACCCGCAAGGGUGCACCAUCGACCGAUCCUGAAGUUUACGGAAGGAUUUGAGUAAGAGCAUGGCUGUUGGGACCCGAAAGAUGGUGAACUAUGCUUGAAUAGGGUGAAGCCAGAGGAAACUCUGGUGGAGGCUCGCAGCGGUUCUGACGUGCAAAUCGAUCGUCAAAUUUGGGCAUAGGGGCGAAAGACUAAUCGAACUAUCUAGUAGCUGG